UUGGUGGGGUAAAGGCCCACCAAGGCGACGAUCUGUAGCGGGUCUGAGAGGACGAUCCGCCACACUGGGACUGAGACACGGCCCAGACCCCUACGGGAGGCAGCAGUGGGGAAUCUUGGACAAUGGGCGCAAGCCUGAUCCAGCAAUGCCGCGUGGGUGAAGAAGGCCUUCGGGUUGUAAAGCCCUUUCGGCGGGGAAGAAAUCGGUCAGGCGAAUAGUCUGGCUGGAUGACGGUACCCGCAGAAGAAGCACCGGCUAACUACGUGCCAGCAGCCGCGGUAAUACGUAGGGUGCGAGCGUUAAUCGGAAUUACUGGGCGUAAAGGGUGCGCAGGCGGUUCUGUAAGACCGGUGUGAAAUCCCCGGGCUCAACCUGGGAAUUGCGCUGGUGACUGCAGGGCUAGAGUACGGUAGAGGGGGGUGGAAUUCCUGGUGUAGCAGUGAAAUGCGUAGAGAUCAGGAGGAACACCGAUGGCGAAGGCAGCCCCCUGGGCCUGUACUGACGCUCAUGCACGAAAGCGUGGGGAGCAAACAGGAUUAGAUACCCUGGUAGUCCACGCCCUAAACGAUGAGAACUAGCCGUCUGGAGUCUUCGUGCUCUGGGUGGCGCAGCUAACGCGUGAAGUUCUCCGCCUGGGGAGUACGGCCGCAAGGUUAAACUCAAAGAAAUUGACGGGGACCCGCACAAGCGGUGGAUGAUGUGGAUUAAUU
RNAcentral lists this ribosomal RNA (710 nucleotides) under Tepidiphilus sp. enrichment culture clone SEQ28_3GClone_AER. RNAcentral's name for it is "bacterial SSU rRNA". It matches the Rfam family "Bacterial small subunit ribosomal RNA", at positions 249 to 951 of the family's 1533-position model. The record is from RNAcentral. Lineage: Bacteria; Pseudomonadati; Pseudomonadota; Hydrogenophilia; Hydrogenophilales; Hydrogenophilaceae.